This is a long non-coding RNA of Pogona vitticeps (central bearded dragon), 1836 nucleotides long. Ensembl lists it as uncharacterized. The record is from Ensembl. Lineage: Eukaryota; Metazoa; Chordata; Lepidosauria; Squamata; Agamidae.
UGUUUGCUCAAAUCAAACCUUUCUCAGAAGUAAAUACUACCUAUUAUUUCAUGUAUUGAUAGGAAGAGAUGUUGGGUGAUGUCAUCUAGUCUCUUGUAUUUUAUUGUAACCAGAGGUUGCAGAAAGAUUGACAGGGACUGUGUGUUUAGUCGUUUAGUCGUGUCCGACUCUUCGUGACCCCAUGGACCAGAGCACGCCAGGCCCUCCUGUCUUCUACUGCCUCCCGGAGUUGUGUCAGGUUCAUGUUGGUUGCUUCGCAGACACUGUCCAGCCAUCUCAUCCUCGGUCGUCCCCUUCUCCUUCUCAGAAGUAAACACUACCUAUUAUUUCAUGUAGGAAGAGAUGUUGGGUGAUGUCAUCUAGUCUCUUGCAUUUUAUUGUAACCAGAGGCCGCAGAAAGAUUGACAGGGACUAUACAGAAUCAGUUCCUUGACUUCAGGCUGCUUUGGAACAUGUUGACAUUCCGGACUAUAUAGAAUCAAUUCCUUGACCUCAGGCUGCUUUGGAACAUGUUGACAUUCCAAUGCCUCAUAAAGAGCGGAAUGUUCUUCUGCUUCCCCGGAGACAGUCCAGCCAAAGAAUCAAGGGUUCCCAUAGCCCAAUCGAGCAAUGCCACCACAAUGCCAGAACAACAACGACCGAGACCCCAGCUCCAAGGCAACCAGUGCAACAUGACGGACAUAAUGCAAAGAAUUUCCCUUUCCAAGCCACAUGUAGACCAGGGGAUGUAUAGAACAUUGUACAUGGUCGACUACAAGCCCUAUGCGGAACAUCAUCAGUGGCGUCCCAUGAUGGACCCUUCACAGAGACUAAAACUGGAAGCCCAGCUGAAGGAGAAGGAGCUUGCAAGGCCUGUUCAGAAGAAACCGGUGAAAUAUGUUGAGGAGCCUGGCUGUCAAGAAGUUCAGCCACCUUAUCCUGUAGGAAUGGUUGGGAGGGCCUCAAAAGGCCUAGAAGCUCCACCGCCAAACCAACAAGCCCAAGAAGAACAAUGGAACCACUCCCUUCCUCUUGCUGAUCCAACUGCAAUUCAAGAAAAGGAAGCUGAGAGAUUAGCUCAGCUGGCAGAUGCUAUUGCUCUGACAGGUAACACAGAUGUGCCAUGCAUCAAGCAAGAACAGGGCCAGAACUGGAACAGUUAUCAGCAAUUCCUCUUGGAAAACCGGCGAGCUAAUCAAGUACAAGUUCAAGAAAUUAAGAGGCUGAAUCUGGAAACGUCUGUAUUUCCAAGAGAUUUCAUCAGGAGUACUGAUGCAAGUACUUACCAAAGGGAUUACAAAUGCUGGCCCAGAAUCCGGGGUGGAUUUUGCCGAGCGAAUCGGAAUUUCUCGAAUCUCCUCUUAGAAGAUGGCUACUACAAAAACAAUCCCUGGUCAUCAGAAUACAUGGACAACUAUAACAUUUUCUUGAGGAAGUUGCACUGGACCGCUCGCAAUCCUGUCUCAUCUUUUUGCUCAGCUGUACAGCCCAUCCCCCAUCUCUCCCAUGGAAUGCCCUCGCAGACGCCUAUAGCCGUGAACACAGCACCUUAAAAAUAUGCAGCCAUUUUUGAUUAUGUUCUGCAAGCAAAAUAGGAUUUCAGUCAUGGAAAUAUUGAUAUGAUGCCAUGGAAGCCUGAACACUGCACACGACAGACUAUUGUUUAUAUUAAGCUUAUUUAUACUUGUGUAUGUACCAUAGCUAGAUUUUGAGUACUGUAUAUCUAUUUUCUAGAGCUAAAGCAGAGCCCUGGUUUGAAAUGUAUGUGGAAAUUGACACAUGUAUCUUAGAAUAAUCCAAAUAUAGAAUUAUUCAAGUUGUUCUACCUUUUAAAUAAAAAUAUGCUAAUUAAAAACA